Molecule: long non-coding RNA, 913 nt
Organism: Octopus bimaculoides (California two-spot octopus)
Lineage: Eukaryota; Metazoa; Mollusca; Cephalopoda; Octopoda; Octopodidae
Source: RefSeq, a predicted model, not a curated record
AUAUAUAUAUAUAUAUAUAUAUAUAUAUAUAUGCAUAUAUAUAUAUGAAUAUAUAUAUAUAUAUGAUAAUUGCAAAGGAGAGAGAGAGAAAAAGGGAAAAAGAUGUUAUGUAAGAAGAAACGCAUAAAGAGGAGCAAAACAGUGGAAAAAGAAAGAAACGAAAGGAUCAGUCCCAGGGAGAAAUAGGAGAGAACGAGAGAGGGAGAGAACGAGAGAGAGAGUGAAAGAACGAAAGAACGAAAGAGAAAAAGAACGAGAGAGAUAGAAUGAGAUUGAGAGGGUGAGAGAGAGAGAGAGAGAGAGAGAGUGAAAGAAAAGAAAAGGGAGUCGAAGAAAGGAGAAAAAGAAGAAGGGAAAAAAAAAACGACGACGAGGAACGAUGCGAGAAGGAAGGAAGAAAAUCGACAAGAAUUUCUCAGACUUGAAAAGAGAAAGAAAGGAAGAAAGAAAGAAGAGAAAAGAAAAAAGAAAAGAACAAAUAUCCUGGAUUUAAGCAAAAAACACAACACAACAAAAACACACAGAAUGAAAAUAACAAUUGAACGAGAGGAAGUAAAUUUGGCAACUCUAAAAGUUGUGGAAUCUACCAAGUUUGGAAGAGGAAGAAAGACGAAAGAUUAUGAAGAAAAAUAAAUAGAAGUAAAAAUGAAGACUGAAACGAAAUAUAUUAGAAAAAAGCAAAAAAGGAAAUAUAAAGAAUAUAAAUGCAACAAUUGAACAAUUGAAAUCUGAUGGCAGCGAGAUUACGGAAUUUAACAGAAAAUGGAUUACCAUUCCAUGCGGUAUAUAUCUGAACAUCAAAGUAAGAAUAGCAGAAACUUCACAUAAAAAGAUAUUCUCUCUUUCUCUCACUUUUUUUCUUUCCCCAAACGAUAUACAUACACAUAUUCUUUAUAUAAACAUAUAUUUAAUA